GAUGAACGCUAGCGGCAGGCUUAACACAUGCAAGUCGAGGGGCAGCAUAAUGAAGUAGCAAUACGGAAUUGAUGGCGACCGGCGCACGGGUGCGUAACGCGUAUGUAACCUACCUCUAACAGGGGGAUAACACUGAGAAAUUGGUACUAAUACCCCCAUAACACUUGAUAGGGCAUCCUAUUGAGUUGAAAGUUCCGGCGGUUAGAGAUGGACGUGCGUUGUAUUAGCUAGAUGGUGAGGUAACGGCUCACCAUGGCGACGAUACAUAGGGGGACUGAGACGGUUAACCCCCACACUGGUACUGAGACACGGACCAG
RNAcentral lists this ribosomal RNA (317 nucleotides) under uncultured bacterium. RNAcentral describes it as "bacterial SSU rRNA". It matches the Rfam family "Bacterial small subunit ribosomal RNA", at positions 28 to 334 of the family's 1533-position model. The record is from RNAcentral.